CGGCCGCCCGCGCGGCUUGGCGCUCGGCGCUGGGGUCGUUGCCGAGGGCGACACGGGCGAGCGUUUCGCGCGCGGCCUU
This 79-nucleotide transfer RNA is filed under the name Allostella sp. ATCC 35155. RNAcentral describes it as "Stella sp. ATCC 35155 tRNA-Pro". Lineage: Bacteria; Pseudomonadati; Pseudomonadota; Alphaproteobacteria; Rhodospirillales; Allostellaceae. The record is from RNAcentral.